AUGCUUCAGCAACACAUUUACUAAAAUUGGAAUGAUACACAGAAGCUUAGCAUGACCGUACACAAGGAUGACACCCAAAUCUGUGAAGCAUUUCCUAUUUUU
This is a small nuclear RNA of Monodelphis domestica (gray short-tailed opossum), 102 nucleotides long. The record is from Ensembl. Lineage: Eukaryota; Metazoa; Chordata; Mammalia; Didelphimorphia; Didelphidae.